AAGACUUGGUAAUUAUAAAGAAAACAAUUUGAAGACGUAGAAAAACAAGUUUGAAGACUUGAAGUGUUCAAAAGAUACAUUUUGUUUCCAAAAGUGUUUCUCCUCUCCCUUAUCCUCUCGACUCUCUUCUUCAUCUUUCAACCGAAAUUUCUUUUUUCUCCAGUGACCGGCGCGUGGCGGCUCCGUUAGCGCCACCGCCGGUCCCGUUAGUUUCCCUUGCUCCGGAUCUAGUAGAUCUCUUGGUUAAUUUCGUUUAGGGCUCAUUUUUUUAGUCAAGCGGAGGGUGCUGUCUCGAGGAGCUCGCGUCGGGUCACGGUUUCGGUGGAGGUCGUGGGACUAUGGUCAAGUCAGCCGCCGCUGAAGCUUGGUGGUUCCUUUUCGGGUCGUUUCUCAGAUUGUGUUUCAAGUGGUGGUGGAUACAGUGAAUGCUUCUCUUCGUUUCCUUGCCGUGAGUGUCUCAGGAAGGUUUCGGUGAGCAAGGCCUCGUUUUUGUGUGGUUUUAGCUGGACUUCUAUUUAGGGGUAUGUGGGCGUAAGUGCGCUGCAUCCAUAUCCGAAGGUGUGUGGACCGAGAAGUGAUCUUUAUUAGCGGAUUGUGAAGUCUUGAGUUUCUUGGGCGUUAUCGUUUGGCGGGCUUGUGCAGCAACGAUAAGUCGUGGUGUAUUGGGUUCUAGAGGUGGAGGUUAUCGGGUGGCGAUAUGUGAUUUGCAGCGAUAAUUCCCUUUCAUUGGCAUCUACUAAGUUUUAUUAUCUGCCGAGUCAAUUGCUUCUCAUCCUAGUGUAGUUGUUAAUCGUUCUUCCUUGGUUUAGAUGUGGUUCGAGUUAUUAUGCUUUUUAUGUAAGUCUUAGUCGCCCCUGCGUGGGUAUAAGUCGCCCCUGCGUGGGUUCUAGCGGCCGCCUCCUGUGGGCUUUUGAGUCUGGAAAAAUGUUUGGUUGUCCGCCAGUUAUUGUAGUAAGUCGAGUAUCUAAUGGAAUGAAUUUCAAUUUGGGAAAAAAAAAAAGAA
This is a long non-coding RNA of Raphanus sativus (radish), 1003 nucleotides long. RefSeq lists it as uncharacterized. The transcript has 2 exons. Lineage: Eukaryota; Viridiplantae; Streptophyta; Magnoliopsida; Brassicales; Brassicaceae. The record is from RefSeq and is a predicted model, not a curated record.